AGGGAAAGGUGAAAAGCACCCCGGAAGGGGAGUGAAAGAGAUCCUGAAACCGUGUGCCUACAAAUAGUCAGAGCCCGUUAAUGGGUGAUGGCGUGCCUUUUGUAGAAUGAACCGGCGAGUUACGAUCCCGUGCAAGGUUAAGCUGAAGAGGCGGAGCCGCAGCGAAAGCGAGUCUGAAUAGGGCGUUUAGUACGUGGUCGUAGACCCGAAACCAGGUGAUCUACCCAUGUCCAGGGUGAAGUUCAGGUAACACUGAAUGGAGGCCCGAACCCACGCACGUUGAAAAGUGCGGGGAUGAGGUGUGGGUAGCGGAGAAAUUCCAAUCGAACCUGGAGAUAGCUGGUUCUCCCCGAAAUAGCUUUAGGGCUAGCCUUAAGUGUAAGAGUCUUGGAGGUAGAGCACUGAUUGAACUAGGGGUCCUCAUCGGAUUACCGAAUUCAGUCAAACUCCGAAUGCCAAUGACUUAUCCUUAGGAGUCAGACUGCGAGUGAUAAGAUCCGUAGUCAAGAGGGAAACAGCCCAGAUCGCCAGCUAAGGUCCCAAAGUGUGUAUUAAGUGGAAAAGGAUGUGGAGUUGCUUAGACAACUAGGAUGUUGGCUUAGAAGCAGCCACCAUUUAAAGAGUGCGUAAUAGCUCACUAGUCGAGUGACUCUGCGCCGAAAAUGUACCGGGGCUAAAUACACCACCGAAGCUGCGAAUUGAUACCAAUGGUAUCAGUGGUAGGGGAGCGUUCUAAGUGCAGUGAAGUCAGACCGGAAGGACUGGUGGAGCGCUUAGAAGUGAGAAUGCCGGUAUGAGUAGCGAAAGACGGGUGAGAAUCCCGUCCACCGAAUGCCUAAGGUUUCCUGAGGAAGGCUCGUCCGCUCAGGGUUAGUCAGGACCUAAGCCGAGGCCGACAGGCGUAGGCGAUGGACAACAGGUUGAUAUUCCUGUACCACCUCUUUAUCGUUUGAGCAAUGGAGGGACGCAGAAGGAUAGAAGAAGCGUGCGAUUGGUUGUGCACGUCCAAGCAGUUAGGCUGAUAAGUAGGCAAAUCCGCUUAUCGUAAAGGCUGAGCUGUGAUGGGGAAGCUCCUUAUGGAGCGAAGUCUUUGAUUCCCCGCUGCCAAGAAAAGCUUCUAGCGAGAUAAAAGGUGCCUGUACCGCAAACCGACACAGGUAGGCGAGGAGAGAAUCCUAAGGUGUGCGAGAGAACUCUGGUUAAGGAACUCGGCAAAAUGACCCCGUAACUUCGGGAGAAGGGGUGCUUUCUUAACGGAAAGCCGCAGUGAAUAGGCCCAAGCGACUGUUUAGCAAAAACACAGCUCUCUGCGAAGCCGUAAGGCGAAGUAUAGGGGGUGACACCUGCCCGGUGCUGGAAGGUUAAGGAGAGGGGUUAGCGUAAGCGAAGCUCUGAACUGAAGCCCCAGUAAACGGCGGCCGUAACUAUAACGGUCCUAAGGUAGCGAAAUUCCUUGUCGGGUAAGUUCCGACCCGCACGAAAGGUGUAACGAUUUGGGCACUGUCUCAACCAGAGACUCGGUGAAAUUAUAGUACCUGUGAAGAUGCAGGUUACCCGCGACAGGACGGAAAGACCCCGUGGAGCUUUACUGUAGCCUGAUAUUGAAUUUUGGUACAGUUUGUACAGGAUAGGCGGGAGCCAUUGAAACCGGAGCGCUAGCUUCGGUGGAGGCGCUGGUGGGAUACCGCCCUGACUGUAUUGAAAUUCUAACCUACGGGUCUUAUCGACCCGGGAGACAGUGUCAGGUGGGCAGUUUGACUGGGGCGGUCGCCUCCUAAAGUGUAACGGAGGCGCCCAAAGGUUCCCUCAGAAUGGUUGGAAAUCAUUCGUAGAGUGCAAAGGCAUAAGGGAGCUUGACUGCGAGACCUACAAGUCGAGCAGGGACGAAAGUCGGGCUUAGUGAUCCGGUGGUUCCGCAUGGAAGGGCCAUCGCUCAACGGAUAAAAGCUACCCCGGGGAUAACAGGCUUAUCUCCCCCAAGAGUCCACAUCGACGGGGAGGUUUGGCACCUCGAUGUCGGCUCAUCGCAUCCUGGGGCUGUAGUCGGUCCCAAGGGUUGGGCUGUUCGCCCAUUAAAGCGGUACGCGAGCUGGGUUCAGAACGUCGUGAGACAGUUCGGUCCCUAUCCGUCGUGGGCGUAGGAAAUUUGAGAGGAGCUGUCCUUAGUACGAGAGGACCGGGAUGGACGCACCGCUGGUGUACCAGUUGUUCUGCCAAGGGCAUAGCUGGGUAGCUAUGUGCGGAAGGGAUAAGUGCUGAAAGCAUCUAAGCAUGAAGCCCCCCUCAAGAUGAGAUUUCCCAUAGCGUAAGCUAGUAAGAUCCCUGAAAGAUGAUCAGGUUGAUAGGUUCGAGGUGGAAGCAUGGUGACAUGUGGAGCUGACGAAUACUAAUAGAUCGAGGACUUAACCAU
RNAcentral lists this ribosomal RNA (2410 nucleotides) under Bacillus cereus TIAC219. RNAcentral's name for it is "bacterial LSU rRNA". It matches the Rfam family "Bacterial large subunit ribosomal RNA", at positions 506 to 2925 of the family's 2925-position model. Lineage: Bacteria; Bacillati; Bacillota; Bacilli; Caryophanales; Bacillaceae. The record is from RNAcentral.